AAAUAGAUAGCUUAAUUAAAGCAUAGCAUUGAAGAUGCUGGGAUAGGUUAGACCUUCUGUUUA
RNAcentral lists this transfer RNA (63 nucleotides) under Onchidium reevesii. Its description in RNAcentral is "tRNA-Phe". It matches the Rfam family "tRNA". Rfam says of the family: Transfer RNA (tRNA) molecules are approximately 80 nucleotides in length. Their secondary structure includes four short double-helical elements and three loops (D, anti-codon, and T loops). Lineage: Eukaryota; Metazoa; Mollusca; Gastropoda; Systellommatophora; Onchidiidae. The record is from RNAcentral.